GACGAACGCUGGCGGCGUGCUUAACACAUGCAAGUCGAACGGUGAACCUCUUCGGAGGGGUUCAGUGGCGAACGGGUGAGUAACACGUGGGCAACCUGCUCCCGGCCCUGGGAUAACUCCAAGAAAUCGGGGCUAAUACCGGAUGUUCACCGCUUCCCGCAUGGGUGGUGGUGGAAAGGGUUUCCGGCGGGGGAUGGGCCCGCGGCCUAUCAGCUGGUCGGUGGGGUAGUGGCCUACCAAGGCGACGACGGGUAGCCGGCCUGGGAGGGUCACCGGCCACACUGGGACUGAGACACGGCCCAGACUCCUACGGGAGGCAGCAGUGGGGAAUAUUGCGCAAUGGGCGGAAGCCUGACGCAGCGACGCCGCGUGGGGGAUGACGGCCUUCGGGUUGUAAACCUCUUUCAGCAGGGACGAAGCGCAAGUGACGGUACCUGCAGAAGAAGCACCGGCCAACUACGUG
RNAcentral lists this ribosomal RNA (463 nucleotides) under uncultured bacterium. RNAcentral describes it as "partial 16S ribosomal RNA". It matches the Rfam family "Bacterial small subunit ribosomal RNA", at positions 28 to 507 of the family's 1533-position model. The record is from RNAcentral.